UUAAUUAUUAAAAAAUAUAUUUAAUAAAAUUUUUAUAUUAAUUAUUAGAAUAAUUAAAAAGAUAUUAAUUUAAAAAAAAAAAUAAAAAAUUGAGAGAAAUUAACUGUUAUACAGCACUAAAAAAUUAAUAAAUAUUCUUUUUUUUAAUAUUAAAUUCGAAAUAUAAUAAUUAAUAAUUUAUAUGUUUAUUGGAUAUGACAUUUAGACAUAGGUGACGCCGCUACAAUGACGACGAUCCGUUAGCGGCAUUGACUAUGGGACCAGAGGCAUGGGCGUGUGUGCGGACCCUGGGUCUUACCGGUGGUGUCAGGCAUUAAGCCGGUCGCGAUCGUUCGCCACAAGAACAAUAUUUUCAAAAAGUUGUUAUAAUAUUAAUAAUAGUUGUAAUAAUAAUAAAAAUAAUAAUAGUAAUAAUUAUAACAAUAAUAAUAUAAAUAAUAGAAUUAAUAAUAAUAAUAAUAAUAGUAUAAAUAUAAAUAAUAGUAAUAAUAAAAAAGAAAAAAUUAAAUCAAAUAAUACAACAACAAUUGUAGAUAAAUCACAUACAAUAGAUUAUAAAGCACAUCCAUCAAUAUAUAAUAAUAAGGAUAAUAGUUUAUUGAAUUCAAUUCGCUCUUUAGGAAUAUUAGUAGCUUUUUUAAUCCUGAUAGACAGUACUUUAGGAAAUAUUCAGCCAGCAGAAGAUGCUGUACACAUUACAGCAAUACUCGGUGAAAGUGUUAUAUUCAAUUGUCACGUCGAAUUUCCAAACGAUCAUCCAGUUCCAUACGUCCUUCAGUGGGACAAGAAGGUGAGCGAAACGGGAUCAGAUUUACCGAUAUAUAUUUGGUACGAAAAUUAUCCAACACAUAGCGGAGAAGGUUACGAAGGUCGUGUAUCACGUGUAUCACCCGAUUCACCAUUCGGUGCUGCAUCAUUAAAUUUAACAAAUAUACGUGAAAAAGAUCAAGGCUGGUACGAAUGUAAAGUAGUUUUCUUAAAUCGUGAUCCAAAAGCAAAUAAGAACGGCACAUGGUUCCAUUUAGAUGUACAUGCACCACCACGUUUUAGUGUUACACCAGAAGAUAUUAUAUACGUUAAUUUAGGCGAUUCAAUUAUUCUAAAUUGCCAAGCAGAUGGCACACCAACACCAGAGAUUUUAUGGUACAAAGAUGCUAAUCCAGUCGAUCCAUCAUCUACUGUUGGUAUCUUUAAUGAUGGUACCGAGUUACGGAUAUCCACAAUCAGGCACGAGGACAUCGGAGAAUACACGUGCAUUGCUCGCAAUGGUGAGGGACAAGUCUCCCAUACGGCCCGUGUUAUAAUAGCGGGCGGCGCUGUAAUCAUGGUGCCGCCCACCAAUCAAACAAAACUAGAGGGGGAGAAGGCGACAUUCCAAUGUGAAGCAAAAGCGAUGCCAGGGAAUGUCACCGUCCGAUGGUUUCGUGAAGGUUCACCCGUUCGUGAAGUAGCGUCAUUAGAAACACGAGUCACUAUACGUAAAGAUGGCUCAUUAAUUAUAAAUCCAGUUAGUGCUGAUGAUUCCGGUCAAUAUUUGUGUGAAGUAUCAAAUGGUAUUGGUGAUCCUCAAAGUGCAUCAGCUUAUUUAAAUGUUGAAUAUCCCGCAAAAGUGACCUUCACACCAACCGUACAAUAUUUACCAUUUCGUUUAGCCGGAAUUGUACAAUGUUAUAUUAAAUCAAAUCCACCAUUACAAUAUGUUACAUGGACCAAAGAUAAACGUUUGCUAGAAGUAUAUCAAACUAAGGAUAUUGUUAUUAUGAAUAACGGUUCAUUAUUAUUUACACGUGUUAAUGAAAAUCAUCAAGGCCGUUAUACAUGUACACCAUAUAAUGCACAAGGUACACAAGGUUCAUCGGGUCCAAUGGAAGUUUUAGUACGUAAACCGCCAGUAUUUACAAUUGAACCGGAAACGCUGUAUCAGCGAAAAGUUGGUGAAACAGUUGAAAUGAAUUGUGAUGCACAAGAGGGUGAAGGUACACAACGACCAAAUAUACAAUGGCAACGUCAAGAGGGUGUUCCAUUACAAAAGAAUCGUGUUAAAAUAAAUGGUGGUAAUAUUACAAUUGAAAAUUUAAGACGUGAAGAUUUUGGUUAUUAUCAAUGUGUUGUAUCAAAUGAAGUAGCAACAAUUGUAUCAGCAACACAAUUAGUUAUUGAAGGUACACAACCACAUGCACCAUAUAAUAUAUCUGGUAAAGCAACGGAUACAUCAAUAACAUUACAAUGGAUGCCAGGUUAUAGUGGUGGACAAGAUUAUAAACAAGAUUAUACAAUAUGGUAUCGUGAAGCUGGUAUAUCUGAUUGGUUAACAAUACCAGUAACACCAUCAGGUAGUACACAAACAACAAUACAUAAUUUAGCACCAGGUACAACAUAUGAAUUUCAAGUUGUUGGUAGAAAUGCUCUUGGUGAUGGUAUGAUGAGUAAAAUAGUUACAGUUAGAACUCUGGCAGCAAUGGCUCCUAGUCAAGAAAAAACUACUUCCGCGCCUGCUACGAAAACAACUAAAGAAUCUGACCUUGAUCCAGGCCCAGAUGGACCAAAACCUGGCCCACCAAGAAAUCUAACUGUUACAGAAAUAUCAAAUGGAUUUUUAAUAACAUGGCAAUCACCAUUAGAACGUGCACAUAUGGUUAAACAUUAUACAAUUAAAUAUCGUACAGAUGCUGCAUGGAAAACAUUAAAUCGUGGAUAUAUACGUCCAGAAGAGACACAAUAUUUAGUUAAAAAUUUAGUUGGUGGUCGGACAUACUAUUUUCGUGUAUUAGCUAAUACGGAUAAAACAUAUGCUAUAAGCGAUGAAGUUAAAUUUCCAGUUCCGGCACGUGUUAAACAUAAAGCAAUAACAGCCGGUGUUGUUGGGGGAUUUUUAUUUUUUAUAGUUGCAAUUAUAUUAUCUGUUUGUGCUGUAAAAAUAUGCAAUAAAAGAAAAAGACGAAAACAGGAAAAAGAAAUAAUUCGAUUACAGAGUUCAACAUGGUAGCUUGUAGGAUAACGGAUGCCCGUAAUGCUGCUAGUCGUACGGGCUCUGCUUCCAGUAGUCAAGUGCCUUUGAAAAAGAGUAAUUCUGAACAUUUUAAAGAUUAUGAAACCGUUUU
Molecule: RNA transcript, 3101 nt
Organism: Condylostylus longicornis
Lineage: Eukaryota; Metazoa; Arthropoda; Insecta; Diptera; Dolichopodidae
Gene: tutl
Gene name: protein turtle
Exons: 11
Source: RefSeq, a predicted model, not a curated record